This 1401-nucleotide long non-coding RNA is filed under the name Haliotis rubra (blacklip abalone). Its description in RNAcentral is "uncharacterized LOC124267239, transcript variant X1". The record is from RNAcentral. Lineage: Eukaryota; Metazoa; Mollusca; Gastropoda; Lepetellida; Haliotidae.
UGCCGGAUUGUCCAAAGAUCCGACACUAUUCGUAGACACUGCUGUGGCCAGAACUUAGUAAACAUUAGGUUUUACCCGCAUGAGCUCAGGGUUUUGACGUCGUCACUUGCGGCUUGGGGGCCCGUUUCAGUAGAUCAGAUAGUUGCUGGAUGCCAGUGGAAAAUAACUCAUCCCUCCACCAGCUUGUAUUGGCGUCAUGUCAAUCCAUCCAUAGGGGCUUGCGGACAUUGGUACCUCUUGUGGCAGGGCAGCACCUCUCCUCCACCGACCUGUUUCCCCUUGAGGAAAAACAAAAGGGGGGGAAGUUGUAACAGGGGAUCACUAUCUUGGACUGAGUGUACUCAGCAUUACCGUCACACCAGGUCGAUCCCCUCUGAGAGAGUUCAUCGCCAUGCAGCAACUUGGAACCCGAUUUACAAGGCGACCGAGGGAUAUAGAUUGUCGCGAAUCUAUGCUGGGCGUUUCGACAGACAUAAUCAAAGGUAACAGCUGAGAGAUACCCUCUUCCUCACCACUACAAUCCGUAUCAGUUCUCCUUCGUAGCCACUUGAUCUAAAAUAUGUUGUGGCAUUUUAUAGAGCAACCUUCGUUUUAACCUUGGGCGUAGUUUGCCUCUUUCAAUUUCUACUCACAUUGGCCUUGAGAAGCCUCUCAAGACCAGACGUCGCUAGGGAGCUGUUUGGGCAUGCGUGACUGUAUUUAUUUCUUUGAUACCUAGAAACGCCAUUUCUUGGUAUCUUGAGUCUGAUUUUAUAUAACUGUCCUGAAAUAUACACAAACAGAAACAUAAUGAAAAUAGAGAAGAAUAAACCAGAUGCACCUACACAUCGCACAUGCUCAAAUUAUGUUGUUGUUUUUAAAUUACACAUGAUAUAACAACCCACUCCCGCCCCCAAAAGAAAAAGAAAAAAAUAGAAGCAAAAAAAAAAAAAGAAAACAAGGGAAAUGAAACAAACAAACAAACAACCCAAAAGCUCGUUGUCGCCAUGACCGCAUGGCUGGUUGUCAGAAUUUUAACUUUCAUGUGGAGAUACUAGUCUUCAUGACAAGUUUACAACCAUUUUGUUGUCGUCAGACAUAUGCUGUCUUGUGUAUUUGGUUCAAAUGCAGCUUCUGAACCUGGAAAGUAUCGUGCUAACGCGGUGAGGUCAGACAUAUGCUGUCUUCUGUAUUUGGUUCAAACGCAGCUUCUAAACCUGGAAAGUAUCGUGCUAACGGGGGGUCAGAGACGGCACAGCUGGGAUCAACCAUGGAACAUUCUACAGCGACAAGCUCUCUGGUUUGCAGGAUGUCGAAAAUGUGAACGUUCGCAGCAGAUGAAUGGAUGUACCUGACUGACAAACACUGGACAACGCGCCACGACAUGCAAAUCGUGUACGUCAAAACUACAAAAUUACCAAU